RNAcentral lists this ribosomal RNA (253 nucleotides) under uncultured bacterium. RNAcentral describes it as "partial 16S ribosomal RNA". It matches the Rfam family "Bacterial small subunit ribosomal RNA", at positions 524 to 776 of the family's 1533-position model. The record is from RNAcentral.
UACGUAGGGUGCGAGCGUUAAUCGGAAUUACUGGGCGUAAAGCGUGCGCAGGCGGUUUUGUAAGCCAGAUGUGAAAUCCCCGGGCUUAACCUGGGAAUGGCAUUUGGGACUGCAAGGCUGGAGUGCGGCAGAGGAGACUGGAAUUCCUGGUGUAGCAGUGGAAUGCGCAGAUAUCAGGAGGAACACCGGUGGCGAAGGCGGGUCUCUGGGCAGUAACUGACGCUGAGGAGCGAAAGCGUGGGGAGCGAACAGG